CCAAAGGCCCUCUUUAGGGCCACUAAUAUAACUUUUCUUAUCAUU
Molecule: non-coding RNA, 45 nt
Organism: Parastrongyloides trichosuri
Lineage: Eukaryota; Metazoa; Nematoda; Chromadorea; Rhabditida; Strongyloididae
Source: Rfam